ACACCACCACCGACUCGACCGUCUCAGCUCUCCCCCUACCUUUCCCUGAUCGAAUUUUGCAGUUCAAUCCUUCAUAAUCGGACACCAAAUCUUGUUUCUUAGCCCAUUCUUAACCUUGUGCUGUAUUACUGGAAUCGAGAACGUAAAUCCCACCCCAUUCUUACAUCCUGAUCGUUUUGUCGAAGUUGAUUUUGAAGAGUUAGUUGCUCGUGCAACAUCAGAAUCGAAGAUUACCAGAUUGUACGAAUCAUUUCGUCCAAACCCAGAUAACCUAAUCGAUCCUUGCACUCCUCAGAAUCUGUGAUUUCACCGGGAGAUUCUAAUUCCAGGCUUGUUGCUUUUUUGGAAUAGUAGCAAAUUGACUGUGAAUAUUAUCUUUAAGCAUGAUAGCUUCUUUCACUGUUUCAUAACAGAUAAUCGUUUUAUGCUACUUUUCUUUACAUGCAUGCACAUAAAAACCAACAGCUACAUCUCUGGCAAUAGUUAUCUAGAUUUAAGCCUGCUAAUGCUUAUUAUCGGCGAUUUUAACUGUAUUAUCAAUUAAUGUUUGGAGGUGUUAGAAUGACUUCUUAAUUUAUGCUUAAUUUCCAAUGGUUUCUGAACUGUAACCGUCUAAUUUCUUUACCUGCUUCUGGAUGUACAUUUACUUGGUGUAAUAACCAAGAUCCUGACACUAGAAUUUAUGAGAAGCAUGAUAGAGUGUGGUAGCUACUAGCUACUUCUGCUAUCCCACUUGGCACUGAAUGACUAGAACCCAAAUUUGUCAAGUAGCAACUGUUAAUGUAUGCUAGAUCAGUUCGGUAAUGUUUUAAAUCAAGAUACAGAUGAACCAAGGAAAUGCAGCUUUAGUCUGUAGGCAUCCAUACACAAACCCUCAUCAUGAAGAUAUAUAUAUAUAUAUAUAUAUAUAUAUUACAGUUUCUAACUUAUCUAUUAUACAUGUAUAUAAGCAUAGCUGAUCAUGGUCAGUUCUUUUGCCUUUGAGCAGACUACAUAAAUGAUUUUGGUUCAAACAUAAAUCCAAUAGCAAAUAAAUGGUUCCAUUUUGUGGCCUUUUAAUCUCAUAUAUUAUCAAUCACAGACCCAGUAUCCCAAUAGUUUUAUAACAUUGAAGAUUUUAUAAUUGGGUGGGAAGGUUCCAGUGUUUUAUGAGCAGGACUUUGUGACUUAAUGUUUUUAGGAAGCUGAACUUCUAAUCACAGGGUUGAGAGAUAAGUUCUAACCACACUCUGAUCAUUGUUUCAGGGAUGUUGGACUUCCAUAUGUGAUUUUCAUAAUAACAGUAUCUAAAGUACUAUUCAUGUUUUGAACAUUCCUUUACCACAAUAUCGAUGUAAACAGAAAAUCAUAUGAUUAAUGUGUGUGCUUCAAAUCGUCUUGGGUACAGAAGUGGUUCUCAAUGUUAGUUCGAUUUUGUUCUUCUUUUCAUGGUUCGAUGCAUAUGCUCCAAGUAGAAAUAGGUGGUACAAUGUUUUUAUUGAAUCCAUGAUAAUCAUGAAAAGUAAUAGAUACUAUCAUACACACGACUAGGAAAACAAGACUACAGUAAUUAGUUUCAUUUAAUUUCAUGAAGCUGUCGCUGUUAUCUUGUGUGUUGUUGCAAUGAAAUUGAAGUAUCUACUGUCACUGAGUGUUGAAAUCACUAAUAGGUCAAUGCACUCUCUGUUCUGAUUUUACACUCCGUUGAAGUCAUGUAGUUGUGUCAAUAAAUCUGAAGCUGAUCCCUUUCUUGUUCUCUUGCAAUCUGUGGUAGGUUUUUGUUUUUCUAGCUGCUGAAUAUGUGACCCCAAAGAACGCAGUGAAUCAGAUCUCUCUCUGGGAUGGUAUCAUACUUUCCGAGAAGGAUGCCAAAUUUUCUAUUCGGACUACAAACAAGUAUUGAUUUGUUGAUGAGCCACUGAUGAGAUUGUCGAGACUGCUGAGCGGAGUCAGGAUUCGUUACUGUUAAUCAUGUGGCCAACGUUCAUGGACUACAAGGAAAGAUUCAUGUGAAAUCUGUCAUUAACUUGUGUAUUCCUGAGCAUUUCUUGGAAUUUUUUAGAGAGGAUUGGUGGAUGAGAUUUGUAAUGGAAACAAUUCUUUCUGUGGUUAAGGGCUGUAUUUUAGGUUGUUGUAUAUCAGUUAAUUGGUCUUGACGGUUUAGAUGUAUACAUCUUAGGUGAUGUGAUAAUAACUGGAAGCCA
This is a long non-coding RNA of Argentina anserina (silverweed cinquefoil), 2183 nucleotides long. RefSeq lists it as uncharacterized. The transcript has 4 exons. Lineage: Eukaryota; Viridiplantae; Streptophyta; Magnoliopsida; Rosales; Rosaceae. The record is from RefSeq and is a predicted model, not a curated record.